RNAcentral lists this long non-coding RNA (14033 nucleotides) under Hordeum vulgare. Its description in RNAcentral is "long non-coding RNA (HVUL_LNC013082)". The record is from RNAcentral. Lineage: Eukaryota; Viridiplantae; Streptophyta; Magnoliopsida; Poales; Poaceae.
AGAGAGAAGCCUCUAGCGAAAACUAUGGCACCCUGGUCUAUUCACACAUAUGUUUACAAAAAUACUAAAUACCUUGCUGUGUUUUAUUAUUUAUAUUUACUUUUUAUAGUUAAAAUAUUUCAACUAUCUAUCUAUCGCUAUUUAUCGCUUGCAAGUAACGAGUUUAAGGGGAUUGACAACCCUCUUACCCACGUUGGGUUCAAGUGUGUGCUCUUUUGUGUGUAGGCGCUGAAGAUGAGAAAUUGUGUAGUCCUCCUAUUGGUUCGAUAACAUUGGUUCUCGCUAAAAAAAUACUUAUCUAUACUGUGAUGCAUCAUACCCUUCUUUUGGAAGAAAAAACCCAACGCAGAUUACAAGUAUCAUUUGGCUACGUGUGGAUUGAUGUUUUAAUCUCACCUCUUAUCAACGUGGUAAAAUUAUCUCACACCAUCACACUUAAACAACUUUGUGUAUGAACAUCAAAAUGAAAAAACUUACAACACGAUAAGUUUUUUGAAUAACGAGAUAAAGCUAGUGUUCGAAGGAAAUUUCAAACAACUAAAAUGCACACAUGAAAAUGUUUGUACAGUCCACAUGUACAGUCCACUAGCAAGAUAUUGAUCUACUUGUGUGCAUAUAACAAUUCCAACACAAACGUCAUGUGAAACAGUGAGAUAAAGCUAGUGCUCAAAGAAAACGUCAAACAUUCGAUCAUGCGUGAAGAAUUUGACAAAAAAUCAACUAAACUAAUAAGCACACAUGAACACAUUUCUAUAGUGCACUUGGGAGAUAUGGUGCUACUCAACUACGACCGUCCAAACAAAAAACUUACAACACCAAAGUUGUGUGAAACAGCAAGAUAAAGCUACUCACCAAAGAAAACUUUAAAUGGUCAACCUUGUGCAAUAAAUUUGACCAAAUUCUUCUAAAAGGCUCUAAAUGUAAUAUGAAAUUGAAGAACUUCACAAAAUUAAAAACGUUCAUCUGAAUGAAACACAACGUCGAUGUGCAUCUUUUUGUGUAGAGAUUAUCACAAAUCAAAAUAUCGUUUUAUAAAUUAGAAGGAAUUAUGUGAAGUAGGUUAAGCAAGUUAACACAACAAUAACACAUGGAAACCUAUGUACCACAUUGAAAGGUAAGAGCCAACGCGUGUGUUCGGUGGAGCCUUUUUUUGAAACGGGGCAAAAGAAUUGCCUUUAUAUUGAUAUAGAAGGAGCAAAAACAAGGGGGGCUUAGCCAGAAAAAGAAAAAAGGUACAAUCACGAAGAGGUAAAAGCUCAGUCCAUAAGUUCCGCAAGGAUUUUUCCUCCCGCUAAGAUCCAAGCCUUCCCUACCUGACGGAUCUUGCGCAUGACCUCCGAAGGCAUCGAGGACUUGUUGUUGAAGACCCUCUCUGAUGGGGUCAUAGUCCUAGGGUAGGGUCAUAGGCCUGCCAUGUAGGUCCUACCCAAGGACCACCCCUCACAAAGGACAAGGCCCUUAGUCAGCCCCGACUGAAUUAAGGAGUACCCAUCAUCCAGUCGGUAACAGGUCCUCGACCAUCCAGUCGGAGACUAGCAUUCGGAGGACACCAAGCUAACCGACUGGAUACACUCGGUACAUCGUAACCUCUCUGGAGGGAAACGGUCGCACGUUUCCGGGUGCAUUUAUUAGCAUUUAGAGCGUACGUUACCUGUAACGUACGCAUUCAAUCCCCACUACUCCACCCCUGUACCGGAACCGUUGUGGAGGGCAGCGCACUCUAUAUAAGCCACCCUCCCCCAAUGGUAGAGGGGUUAGCAAUUCAUUGUAUUCCCUAUUCCACUCGACAACAAAGCUCCCUGAGCACUGAGACGUAGGGUUAUUACCUCCACCGCAGAGGGGCCCGAACUCAUACAACCUCGCCGUAGCUGGGACUCUGCCCAUCCUUUUCGUACCCUACACAUCUACUGUCAGGCUUAUACCCACGACAGUUGGCGCCCACCGUGGGGCAGGCGUCUAAGCGACUUCCGGCGAGUUUGCGACUACUUCCUUUCGUCAUGUCGUCCGGUGGAGAUUCAAGCAUGGGUCACCAGAUCUUCUUUGGCGCUCUCUCCUUCAUCGUCGACGAUUCGGCGUGGCUUCGGGAUGCGCCCCUCGACGUCGAGACGCUUCCCCAUUGCGGGGCUACGCACUUCCGUGCCGGCGCCCGCGGCAUUCUUCUUCUCCAACAGUCGGCUCCGGUGUCGACCUACACCGCCGUCACGCGCCGCGUCAAGCGGUCCCGCCGUCCGCGGCUCCAGCGUUGGGUGCAACACGCCCAUGUGCACCAGAACGCAUCUUCACAAGUGGCGGUUCUAGAGUCAGUUGUGGUUGCCCCGCUGUCCCAGCGCUCGGGCUCGGUUCCGACUGAGUUUCCUUCCGAGUUCGCGGGUCACGGGCCUACAGCAGAAGUACACAUGGCCAAUUCCCAUGAAGAUCCCCAUCAAGCUGGCCGGAAACGAGCACGAGAUCGGCGAAGCGUCCGGCGCGCGUCGUCCACCUCGCCGUUCUGCUAGUCGGCACACUCGGCGGAGCAACGUGGAGCUGUUCCGCACACCCCUCCUCAACUUGGCUGCAGCUGCCAAGAUAGCCGAUUCCCUCCAGCCGACUGAUUCAGAGGCUGGUAGAGGGAUCCAGCAGAUCCGAGCCCUGUUGCACACGGCGCAGCAGCAGAAUUCGGCGGUCUCCCAGUCGCACAACAGGAUCUAUAAUAGUUAUGUUCAUGCGAAUACGCAUCGGUCGGUUCACAGCCCAGGUUCCCAUCAGCGGCACACCGGAGGCAGCCGUUCCAUAAAUCACGAAGAUCGCCGCCGUUCGCGCACCCCUCCACGGGGUGGGCCCUACGGGCCCUGACAUCAUGAUGUUCGGCGUUCAGUCGGUGACACUUACGACCCAAGGCCCGACGCAAGAGGGCAUAUCACCCAGCGGAGGGUCGAUAGGGGUCGGGCCCACCGCGAUGGUUGCGAUAUCGACCGUCCGAGUGGAAGCAGGGCCACCGUUUCUGGUCCCGAGUGUUUCAGUCGAGCCAUCCGUUCGGCUGACAUCCCUCCCAACUUCCGAUUGGCGACGGGAAUUAGCAAGUUCACAGGAGAGUCCAAGCCAGAAACGUGGCUGGAUGACUACCGAGUGGCAGUCCAGAUCGAGGGAGGGGACGACCAUGUCGCCAUGAAGCACCUCCCUCUGAUGCUCGACGGCUCGGCGCGAGCGUGGCUGAACCAGUUGGCCCCCUCAAGCAUCUACAGUUGGGAAGAUCUGGCCCGAGUGUUCAUCAGGACCUUCAAAGGGACGUGCAAGCGCCCUGUUGGCCUUGUGGAGCUCCAGCACUGCGUCCAGAAGCAGAAUGAGCCUCUGCGUGACUUCAUCCAGCGCUGGACAAUUCUCUAUCACACGGUGGAGAACGUCACCGAGCAUCAAGCAGUCUGCACCUUCAAGGCAGGUGUGCGGUACAGGGAUCUGUACUUGAAGUUCGGCCGAACAGGCGACAUCUCCAUGAGCAAGAUCAUGGAGAUAGCAGCUCGCUACGCAAAUGGCGAAGAAGAGGACCGCAUCCGAAGCGGCAAGCACAAAACAGUCGCUGAUGGCGAUGGGGGCAACACUCGAAAGCAGAAGCAGAAAGCUCCGACCGCUCCGCAAGUAGAAGCUGCAGCCGUAACCAAUGCCAAGUUCAAGGGCAAAGAAGGCUUAGUUCACCCCCAAGAAGAAGCAGUUCAAUAACCCCAUCCUGGACCAGCCAUGUCCGGUUCAUACGAAGAUGGAUGAAGAAGGCAACCCCAUAUAUGCGAAGCAUACCACUCGACAGUGUCGCCUCCUGAUCCAGGGGUUCAGCGAAGGGCAACCGAGUGAGAAGGACCAUGAAUAGGAUGAGGAGGAUAAGGAGGAUCCGUUCCCCCAAGUCCAUGCAACCCUGAUGAUCUUUGCUGACGUCAAGAGCAAGAGCCGACUGAAGCUGGUGAACAGAGAGGUGAACAUGGCCACCCCUACCAACCCCAAGUUCCUCAAAUGGUCUCAGACUGCGAUCACCUUCGACUAGUCGGAUCAUCCGGCACAUGUACCCACCCCGGGAAGACAGGCCCUGGUCGUCGACCCAGUGGUAGAAGGAGUCCGACUGCGCAAAGUCCUCAUGGAUGGCGGCAGCGGCUUGAACAUCAUGUACGCCGACACCCUCAAGGGGAUGGGCAUCCCGAUGUCCAAACUCAGCGAGAGCAGCAUGCAGUUCCACGGAGUCGUCCCUGGACGGAAGGCCUAAUCACUCGGCCAGAUCGCGUUGGACGUCAUUUUCGGCUCCGACAAGAACUUCCACUAGGAAAAGCUGACGUUCGAAGUGGUUGACUUCCAGAGCGCUUAUCACGCAAUUCUGGGUCGCCCAGCGUAUGCGCACUUCAUGGCCCGUCCAUGUUACGUAUACCUGAAGCUGAAGAUGCCAGGCCCGAAGGGUGUGAUCACCAUCACAGGCAAUCAGCGGCGAGCUGAAGAGUGUCUGCAGCAGGGAUCAAGAAUCGCCGACUAGCAGAUGGCCGUCCUCGAGCUGGACGAGUACAAGAAAACAGUCGACCCCGCCGACCUGAUGCGCUCGAAGAAGCCAGCUUCAGAGUCUGCAUUUCAGUCCACGGGAGAGACGAAGAAGGUCAGCAUCCACCCGACGGACGCCACUGUUGUCCCGACGAACAUCUCCACCACCCUCGAUCCUAAAUAGGAAGCCGAGCUCACCCAAUUCCUCCGUGAGAACUGGGACAUCUUCGCAUGGAAACCCUCCGACAUGCUAGGUGUACCCAGGGAGUUGGCUGAGCACCGACUGCACGUGGAUUCCACGGCUCGGCCUGUCCGAGAGCGCCUGCGCCGGUCCGCCGCGCACAAGAGGAAGGCAAUCGGGGAAGAGGUGGCCAAGCUGCUGGCAGCCAACUUCAUUCGCGAGGUUCACCACUCCGAGUGGCUCGCCAAAAUGUUGUCAUGGUGCCCAAGAAGGACAAGUCGCUCCGAAUGUGCAUCGACUUCAAGCAUCUCAAUAAGGUCUGCCCGAAAGACCAUUUUCCGCUCCCCCGCAUAGAUCAAAUUGUCGAUUCGACUGCUGGUUGCGAGCGUGUGUCAUUUCUUGAUGCCUACUCGGGCUAUCAUCAGAUCCGUCUGUAUGGUCCCGAUGAGUUAAAAACAGCCUUCAUCACCCCAUUCGGUUGCUUCUGCUACAUCACUAUGCCGUUCGGUCUGAAGAAUGCAGGAGCUACCUUUAUGUGCAUGAUCCAAAAAUGUCUCCUCGAUCAGAUCGGUCGGAAUGUGGAGGCGUAUAUGGAUGAUAUCGUAGUCAAGUCACACAAAGGUUCCGACCUGCUGACUGACUUGGCAGAAACAUUCGCCAACCUUCGUAGGUACGAUAUCAAACUCAACCCCGCCAAAUGUUCAUUCGGCGUUCCCAGCGGAAAGUUACUCAGUUUCUUCGUUUCCGAACGAGGGAUCGAUGUCAACCCCGAAAAGAUCGGGACCAUCGUCCGAAUGGAGAGGCCGGUCAGAAUACACGAUGUUCAACGGCUCACAGGUUGCCUAGCGGCUUUGAGCAGGUUCAUCAGUCGACUCGGCGAAAAAGCACUUCCUCUGUACCGACUCAUGAAGAAAUCAGAUACUUUCGAGUGGACAGAUGAAGCCCAAGUCGCAUUCGACGACCUCAAAGUCCUACUUUCCACCAAGCCGGUUCUUACUGCUCCGCUCAGUAAAGAGCCCCUUCUUCUGUAUAUCGCGGCUACAAAUCAAGUCGUCGGUACUGUUCUUAUAGUCGAACGAGAAGAAGAAGGCAAAGCAUACAAAGUUCAGCGGCCAGUGUACUACAUCUCCGAAGUCCUGACUCCUUCCAAGCAGAGGUAUCCCCACUAUCAAAAACUUAUCUACGGGAUUUACAUGACUGCGAAGAAGGUGGCCCAUUAUUUCCAAGAACACUCGGUGUCUGUCGUUUCUGAUGCUCCAUUGUUGGAAAUUCUCCACAAUCGAGAUGCGUUAGGCCGAGUGGCGAAGUGGGCGAUGGAGAUGCUGUACUGCGAUAUCAAGUUCGAGGCCAAGAAAGCUAUUAAGUCUCAAGCUCUGGCUGACUUCAUAGCAGAAUGGAUAGAACAACAGCAACCGACCCACAUCUGCUCGGCCCAUUCGACAAUGUUCUUCGAUGGGUCCAAGAUGUUGAAUGGCUCCGGCGCUGGCGUUGUGAUCAUAUCACCAAAGGGUGACAAGCUCAAGUACGCGCUACAGAUACACUUCGAUUCCUCCAACAACGAGGCAGAGUAUGGAGCUCUCCUCUAUGGGUUGUGUAUGGCCAUCUCACUCGGCGUCCGUCGCCUGAUGGUCUAUGGUGAUUCGGAUUUGGUGGUCAAUCAAGUGAUGAAAGAGUGGGACGUCAGAAACCCCACCAUGACUACAUACUGCAAUGCAGUGAGGAAGCUUGAGAAGAAGUUUGAAGGUCUAGAACUUCACCAUGUUCCAAGACUGAAGAACCAAGCAGCUGAUGAGUUAGCAAAACUCGGAUCCACUCGGAGACCAGUCCCGAGUGACGUCUGCCUCGAGCACCUCCACCUCCCCUUAGUCAAAGAAGAUCCUUUCACAGAGGAGCCGGUACAACCAAAGAGUUCUACGGAUCCGACUGAAGUCGAUGUUCCUGCUGUGGUUGAUCUGGUCAUGGAGAUUCUUGCCGUCAUCCCCGAUUGGACUGUGCCGAUCGUUGCAUAUAUUCUGAGGCAAGAACUACCAGAAGACGAAGUCCAGGCCAGGCAGAUAGUCCGCAGGUCGAAGUCAUUCACUGUCAUUGAUGGCCAAUUGUAUAAAGAAAGUAUCUCAGGCGUUCUUCAACGAUGCAUCUCCCAGAGGAGGGGCAGCUGAUUCUGGAGGAUAUUCACUCGGGGACCUGCGGUCAUCAUGCUUCUUCGAGAGCAAUCGUCGCCAAGGCAUUCAGGGCUGGUUUCUUCUGGCUGCAGGCUAACGAGAUGGCUAAAGAUAUGGUUGACCGAUGUGAGGGCUGCCAGUUCUACUCCAACAAAUCCCACAAGCCGACGUCUGCGUUGAAGACGAUCCCUCUUGUGUGGCCGUUUGCAGUGUGGGAUUAGAUACAGUUGGCCCAUUCAAGACAGGCCAAGGUGGAUACACACAUCUGUUGGUGGCAGUCGACAAGUUCACGAAAUGUAUCGAAGCGAAGCCCAUCAAGAAGCUCGACGCCUCAACAUCCGUCAAGUUUGUAAGGGACAUCAUCUUCAGAUUCGGUGUACCUCACAGCAUAAUCACGGACAACGGGACAAACUUUGACUCGGACAGAUUCAAAGGUUUCUGUACAAGCAAAGGCAUCCGAGUGGAUUUUGCUUCCGUAGCGCAUCCUCAGUCCAAUGGACAAGCAGAGCGGGCAAACGGACAUAUUUUGCAAGGUUUGAAGCCCUGACUCCUGCGAGAGAUAGGACAUGCCGCUGGCGCUUGGGUUACCGAGCUACCUUCAGUGCUUUGGGGACUUCGCACAACCCCGAACAGAUCUAUAGGGCGAUCACCGUUCUUCCUCGUUUAUCGAGCAGAAGCGGUCCUUCCGAGUGACUUGCUUCACAAUGCGCCACGAGUCGAACUCUUCUCCGAAGCCGAAGCAGAACAAGCAAGGCAAGACGGAGUGGAUCUCCUGGAGGAGGAGCGCGAGAUGGCACUAACUCGCUCGACCAUUUAUCAACAAAAUUUGCGGCGUUUUCAUGCACGCCACGUCAGAAGUCGCACGUUCCAAGCAGGCGACCUGGUGCUCCGAGUGGAUUAGCAAAGACCUCACAAGUUGGCUCCGGCCUGGGAAGGACCCUUCAUCAUCUCCAAGGUGCUGAACAACGGAGCAUACAGACUCUACAACAUCGAGAGGGAGACAGACGAGCCGCGUGCAUGGAACGGAGAUCUCUUGAAGCUCUUCUACACGUGACGUCGACUGAAGCAAUGUAAAGAACAAGUAUUGGUGAAAUAAUAUAAAGCAGAUUGAGUUUUUUGCAGGUUCAAAGUUCUUCCGCGGUCGCAGACUCCGGUCUCAAAAAAAACUUAGCUGCGAUCCAGAAUCGCCUAAGUAUUAACUUUCUCCCAGUGUGCACUUCACGUCACACUCGGGGGCUUAGCUGCGAUCUAGAAUCGCCUAAGUAUUAACUUUCUUCGAGUGUGCACUUAACGUCACACUCGGGGACUUAGCUGCGAUCCAGAAUCGCCUAAGUAUUAACCUUCUCCGGGUGUGCACUUAACGUCACACUCGGGGACUUAGGGAAUUCCACGGACCCUCAAUGAGGUUCAUGCGGAUGUCAAAACAUCUGACAUGUUCCGAAUGUUUGCCUUUGGCUUCACCAAGAAACGCCAAACGAAAACUCGAGUCAACAUUGCAACAGAAGAGCAAAAGAUUCGAUUCAAAGUUCAACCAAAGAUAGUAGUUCGGUGUGGAUCAAGCUUACCCACACCGAACCACGAAUGUGACGGCCAACAGCAGUGGCCAAAGUUUCUUACAGAUCAACACUCGGCAUACCGAGGAUAAAAGUGUUUUUACGCUUCAUCUGGAUUAACACCAGGACUGGAGGGCUCUACGAACGUGUCCAGAUCAAUACCGUCGACGAUGCGGGUAGCACUUUCAAGGAAGGUUUCCAUAAAGUCUUCAAAUCGAAGUUUCUUCGUGUUAGCCACCUUCAACGUCUUCAACUCCUCCUCGCGCACCUCCUUGCAAUGGACUCGGACCAGAGAUAGAGCAACAUCUGCACCACAACGAGCUGCAGAUUUCUUCCACGACUGCACUCGGUUCGGAAUCUCCUCCAGACGGGUCAUCAGGUUCUCCAUCUCCUGCCGCGACUCAUCUUCUGGCCAAAGCUCCUUGUCGAUUCGGCCGACGACUUCUCUCAGUCGACCGAUGAAAGGACCAACUUUGCCCACGCGGAUGUGCGCACGGAGCAGAUCCCGAUUGGCGUCCUCGCCGAGUGGAACGUUCUCGAGAAUCGACCGCUCUACAUCAGCCGCUUCAGCUUCAGCGUCAAAGCAAAAAUCUGCGACAACAGGACAAGCACACAAUAAGUGUCGAGUGUGACGCGCAUAACACAACCACUCGGAAAGAGAAAGACUUACCAGCCAGACGCGUCAUCAUCUGCCGAGCCGAGUCGCUGACGUAUUUCUCCUGUGCUCUGCACCGUUUGUUCAACACGUCCAUCUGACCCAUCAGCGCAGUCCUCUGUUUCCCCAUCUUUUCCACUUCCUCAGUCAACACCUUGUUCGUUUCACGCGCCUGCUCCAAUGACUUCUCUCGUCCCUCCAGAGCAUCCUUCAUGCCAGUCAUUGCAAGCAGUGCCGCAUCAAGCUCACCAGCUAACUGAUUCUUCUCCGCCCUGAGAGUCUCAUAGGUUGUUCCCAUUUCACAAGUUUUCUGCCAGCAAACACCAAGGGACACUCAGAAAAUCCAACAACAGAAGUUUAAGUUCUUCAGACCCCUGCCGACGCAAGCAGUCGACAGCGGCCUCGGGGACUACACCCACUGGGUUCACUAAGAGUGACCCCACUGGCAUGCAACUCAAGCAGGCCCGCCCUAUUGAGAUGCAUGUUACCACCUACGCCUACGAGGCCAAUACUACCCGACCUGAGUACAAAUUACUCUCGGGGACUCUUACAGUAAGUGCACUCCGAGUGCCACAACUACGCGCACUCGGUCAUGUUAUUUACAGAUCUGACCAAAGCAAAGACAAUAUGUAUAAAGACAACUGCCGGUGCAAGCACUCGAUAGAAGUCUCGGGGACUACACCCACUGGGUUCACUCAGAGUGAACCCAUUGCGAACAACAGAUGCUAUCCAAAAACACCCAGUGGGUUACAAGAUAAAAGUAAAUACUUACUAGCCCACUUACUCGGAUAUCAUCCCGCAGCUCUAGGCUCCGCUGGUACAAGGACGCGACGGAGUCGUAGGCCCUCUUGGCCUCCCCAGCCAUCAGCUCCGCCUGCACCAUGGCUCCCUUGGCCCCUCCCACCUGCUCCUCCGGGAGACGCUGGAUGUUGAACUCGACAUUCGACGAGCCUGGCAUCGUCGGAAGCUCCUGAGGCAUCCCGAGGUCCGCUCCAGUCGGCACCUCAACCACCAGCGCCGGUUCAGUCGGCGGCAGCGCCUCAGUCGGCGGCACGUUGGCGGCGAGAGCAGCAACAGGCGGAGCGGCCUCAAGAACGGGCUCCGCAGCCUGUUCAGCUCUCCCCUGAUCGCCCUCGUCCACGCAAAUCGCCCCUGAUAGACCGAACGACGCAAGAUCUCAGAAAAAAAAGAGGCAGAACCUAUGAUAGAAUAAAACACUCGAAGUCACUACAACGCACCUGGCUGGGACGAGACGACGUUGUCCGUGUCCAUGGGGUCAUCUUCUUGGCGCGCCGGAGAGGUGGCAGAAGUAGCAACUCUGUCGAGUGAAAUCCGUUCGACCAAUGAACAAGAAUUCACUCGGAUAUCAGAAGAAAUUAGAGGAUCGAUACACUUACGUGGAGGUGACGGGGACAGCAACCCUCAUCCGCGGCAGAGUCUUCCGAGGUUUGGACCCACUCGGUUUGGCCGCCUUGGAAGACUGACCCGCAGGCUCAGCGGCAGCAUCCCUGGCCCUUUGGGUGCUCCGAGCACUCGGGACCACCAGGGCAGUGGGCGGAGCACUCGAAGAUGCAGGAGGGGCCGAGGGAACGGCAGGCUCGUGUCGGCGCUUGGUCCGAUGCUCUGUUUGCGGAGGCGACGAGUCCUGCUCUUCGUCUUCCUCCUCUUCCUCGCUAGUCUCUUCCACCGACUCCCCGUUGUCGGAGACAUAUUCAGCGCUCUCCACGCUGCCCUCCUGGCUGCCUUCCUCCUCCUCGGCCGGGUUCCCGUUCGAGACGGGAGAAAACCAGUUGGUCCACUCCUGCAUAAAAUUCAGUCGGCGACAUCAGACGUCACACAGAGAUUCAAGCAAACGAUAAGAUUAAGACAGUUAGGAGCACUCGACAAGUGACACUCACCUGAUUCGGAGGAGGAUUAUCCGCGCAGAAGGGCUUCACUCGCCGAGAUCCUUUGGGAUUCUCGCAGGGGCCUGUGAUCUGGAGCACCCACGAGGUCACCCUCUCCUCAGUCACGCCCACGACGUUGGUCCGAGUGGAAUCCUCGGGCCCCGUAUAAUGCCACAUGGCGUGGUCGCGAGCCUGCAGGGGUUGGAUACGCCGACCGAGGAAGACCUCCAGCAAGUCUAUGCCAGUGACCCCCCCUCCUGACGACAUCUAUGAGCGCCCCGACCAGAGGCUGGAUGUCGUUCUUCUCCGCCCUCGUGAGCGCGAGUUGCUUAGGUGGGGUGGGCCGAUCUAAGCUAAAGGGAGGCAGCCCUGUCGAAGCAUUCGGGCAGGCGAUAUCCUGGCAGUAGAACCACGUCGACUGCCAGUUCAUGACCGGCUUACUUAACUGAAGAGCAGGAUAACUACUCCGACUCUUUUUGUGGAAACCUAAGCCCCCGCAGAGCUGGAGGAGAUGUGUCUUAUCAUCCGACUGACUAAGUCGUUUGAUGGUUUGGGAUAUGGCGGAAAAGAUGUGUUUGAACAAACCCCAAUGGGGAGGGCAGCCGAUGAAACACUCGCACAAAACUGUAAAGGCAGAAAGAUGGGCGAUGGCAUUCGGAGGAAAAUGGUGAAGUUGGGCCCCGAAGUGAUUCAUGAUGCCCUUGAAGAAAGGAUGCGGGGGCAAAGAAAAACCUCGGUGGACGUGGAUGAGCAGCAGGACGCGCUCCCCCUCCCGAGGCGCUGGCUCGACCUCGUUCUCCGCCGGCAGCUUCCAGGACUCGUGCACGAUCAUCCCGUGCUCCACCAGCUGCAGCAGAUCCCCCUCCGUCACCGUGGAGGGGAGGAAGUCGCCCUGGAUCCAUCCCGCCGGCAGCGGCCGCUGCCGCCGCUGAGCAGGCGCCGCCGUCUUCCCCUUCUUCUUCCUCGCCUCCAUCUUGUUGGUCUGGCCCUUGGUCAUGGCGGCAGCUGCGAGCCGUCGGGAGGAAGGAGAAGGGAUGAGUAUAGGAGCGCUGGAGGUGGCGAGAAGGGCGAAGCAGGCGAGAGCAAGGGAUUCGGCGAGCAUAACGGAGAAGCCUCGCCGCCGAGAUUUAAGUAGGGUUUCGACUGGGUCGCUGGCAGGUGGCCCCAAAACCUUAUCCCCCCGACCCACCGCGGUGAUAUUAGUGGAGAGGUUGAAGGCGCGAGAAUCAGGCGUCAGGCGCUACUCGAGCGCAAUGGCGUCAUCCCCGCUGUGCGCCCGAAAACCGAAAUUUGAGAUCCCGGAAAAUCCGCCGCUGUCAGUUGACCGGUCGCGUCAAAAGAUGCCACAGAAGCACUCGGCUUCCGACAGUCUGUUUCGCGAGUACUUCCACUCGGAUCGUUGGUCAGAAGAGAUAAAAUGGAAUGAGGAAAGCAACGCCCAAGCCAAAUCUGUUCCAGUCGGAUCCAAACUUCAAGCAACGCUUCGUCGUUCCAACCCCAAUCCAUUCGGGGACUAAUGAUGGGGUCAUAGUCCUAGUGUAGGGUCAUAGGCCUGCCAUGUAGGUCCUACCCAAGGACCACCCCUCACAAAGGACAAGGCCCUUAGUCAGCCCCGACUGAAUUAAGGAGUCCCCAUCAUCCAGUCGGUAACAGGUCCUCGACCAUCCAGUCGGAGACUAGCAUUCGGAGGACACCAAGCUAACCGACUGGAUACACUCGGUACAUCGUAACCUCUCUGGAGGGAAACGGUCGCACAUUUCCGGGUGCAUUUAUUAGCAUUUAGAGCAUAUGUUACCUGUAACGUACGCAUCCAAUCCCCACUACUCCACCCCUGUACCGGAACCGUUGUGGAGGGCAGCGCACUCUAUAUAAGCCACCCUCCCCCACUGGUAGAGGGGUUAGCAAUUCAUUGCAUUCCCUAUUCCACUCGACAACAAAGCUCCCUGAGCACUGAGACGUAGGGUUAUUACCUCCACCGCAGAGGGGCCCGAACUCAUACAACCUCGCCGUAGCUGGGACUCUGCCCAUCCUUUUCGUACCCUACACAUCUACUGUCAGGCUUAUACCCACGACACUCUCAUUUCCUUCCUUCCAAAUGUCCCAAGCGAUGAGAAUAAUGGCGGUUUUCAGUCCUUUUUGCGGCCGCUUGGACCGACUAGAAAUGGUUGAUUCAAGAUUUCCAUGCGGGCCUAACUGAGUGGUGCUUUAAGAAAUGUGUUAUGAGGGUUCAAAACUGCUCACAUAAACCAAUGGUUAGAAGUAAUGCAACCUACCAACUCACCCUAUGGCUACGUCAUGGAUAUGCAGGGUAUGAAAUCAGUCGCUAACAUUAAUUUUAUUAUGGAAAAAACUUUUAAUCUAUUCAUCAAACGUCAUGGUAGUACAAAGGACACCAGAAGUAACACUAUAGACCACCUAGUGACGAUUACAAGCGCUGAAGCGAGCCAAAUGUGUGUUGUUGUCAUUGCUCUUCCUCGUGAGACCCGGACAAACCAUGUUUUAGUACACAAUCGGAAAGUGAUCGUGUUAGAGCAUCUACAACCGGACCCAUCAAACCCUCCUCAAACACCCGGGCAGGUCGUCCGCUCAUGAAAAUGUGACCCCAAACUGGCCUCUCAAUCAAGCCUCAAACGCCCAGGCUGACCGGCACCCCCCCCCCAUUUCCAACCCAAAUAUGGGGCGGAUAUGGGGGUGCCCGGGCACGCCCGCCACGUCGGCCUAGCGGCCUGGCCCCACGCGGACUCGACGGGAAACCUGAUGGUCUAACGGGGGCGUCGGCCGUCGGCGCGGUUUGAACGCCGCAUGGCGCCGCUCCGGCUCCCCGCUCGAGGUCGGGCCCGGCUAUUUAAGCCGGCCAAUGUUCUCAGCCCUCGCUCAUCCGCCCCUUCCUAUCUCCGCCGCCACACGAGUCCGUUCGCCUCCUCUCGCACUUCCCUCUCCGUAAGGAUGGUCCGACGGCUCAUCACCACCUACACACAGUUCACUCCAGAGCGGCGCAUGCAAGUCGAGCAGAGAUGCAAGCUCGCCGUGCCGCUCGCAUCGUUGCGGGUCUUCCUCCGAACUCACCGAAGAUGGAGGCGGAGUAGGAGGAGUCGGAGGCCAUGAAGG